AUUGAACGCUGGCGGAAUGCUUUACACAUGCAAGUCGAACGGCAGCACGGGGGCAACCCUGGUGGCGAGUGGCGAACGGGUGAGUAAUACAUCGGAACGUGCCCGGUCGUGGGGGAUAACGUAGCGAAAGUUACGCUAAUACCGCAUACGAUCUGAGGAUGAAAGCGGGGGACCUUCGGGCCUCGCGCGAUCGGAGCGGCCGAUGUCAGAUUAGGUAGUUGGUGGGGUAAAGGCCUACCAAGCCGACGAUCUGUAGCUGGUCUGAGAGGACGACCAGCCACACUGGGACUGAGACACGGCCCAGACUCCUACGGGAGGCAGCAGUGGGGAAUUCUGGACAAUGGGCGCAAGCCUGAUCCAGCCAUUCCGCGUGCAGGACGAAGGCCUUCGGGUUGUAAACUGCUUUUGUAUGGAACGAAAAGGCUCUGGCUAAUACCUGGGGCUCAUGACGGUACCGUAAGAAUAAGCACCGGCUAACUACGUG
This 484-nucleotide ribosomal RNA is filed under the name uncultured bacterium. Its description in RNAcentral is "partial 16S ribosomal RNA". It matches the Rfam family "Bacterial small subunit ribosomal RNA", at positions 30 to 507 of the family's 1533-position model. The record is from RNAcentral.